Molecule: transfer RNA, 55 nt
Filed under: Heterosigma akashiwo
Lineage: Eukaryota; Raphidophyceae; Chattonellales; Chattonellaceae
Source: RNAcentral
GUGGAACAGCGGUAGAAUGCGAGCUUUCAGACUGCGAGACACGGGUUCGAAUCUG